RNAcentral lists this long non-coding RNA (644 nucleotides) under Chinchilla lanigera (long-tailed chinchilla). Its description in RNAcentral is "lncRNA (ENSCLAG00000029081.1)". The record is from RNAcentral. Lineage: Eukaryota; Metazoa; Chordata; Mammalia; Rodentia; Chinchillidae.
CAUUUUAGUCAUGGCCCUGACCAAGGAAUGACCUGUAGGGAAGAGCACAAAGGAGGAAGCCAGUGAAGAGUCUGCAUUUGAGCAAAAGCUCAAAGGGUAUGGACUCAGAAAAGGCAGCUCCAGCUUUGAGGACCCUGGACACCAUCACCCACUGGCCCCUGCUCCCAGGGCAGGUUGCAAGCGGAUGCCCCGUUGGCUGUGAUCACUCGGCUUCUCUGUAGCUCGCCCACCAUGCGCUCGGUGCUGCUCAGUGGCCACAGGGUAACACAAUCCUUUGAUUCCUUGUUGGGAAGAAGGCAACAGCUGUCCCAUCACGAAUGCCCGCCAGUCUCCUGUGGGAUGUCCCUGGCCCUGCCGUCACCCCUCCUGGUCCCUGCACAGCCACCUCUCAUCCUACAGCGCUGCAGUGUGGAUGCACCGCUGUGGUCAUAGCUGUCAUCGUCGUCCCCUACUGUGGGCAGCUGCUUCUGGACCGCACAGCUCAUCGUCUGUCCCUCCUGCUCAGUGGCAUUGCUGCUAAGUGGGGAUGCCUGCAUGGGGAUCCAGGUGGCCCUAUCUCAGAGCCCAUCUACUCAAUUCUUCCUGCUGUCUGCUCCCAACAAACCCUAUGUCCGUCCUUGAUCUCUGCCUCUAGCCCAGGGUAA